CAAUCAUUCCCCCAAAUUCAACUGAUGCCCUCUUUAUCCCAAAUCCCUCGAUUUGUUCAUCGUCUUAGCAUCCCUUUUAUCUGUUACAGAUUCAUCAACGAUCGUUCCCCCAAUCCAAAACCGUCGACCAAAAUCCAUGGUCUCCUCCGUCAGUUGGCACCCUUGUUCAAUCAUUCCCCAUCGUCUGCCUCCCUCCGCCCUCUAAUAACCGGCCCUCCCUCUGAUUCCUCUAUCGAUCCGAUAGAUAUGGAAACAACCUUCCAAUCGCAUUUGAGGUUCAAUUCACUAGCCGAUCAACUGUGACAGCUUAUUGAGGAGUUUCAGGGCGGCGAUGGUGCCUCAAUUUUAUAUAUUGAGGGUGUAUCGGAACAAGUUCUUCACAAAAGGCAUAUGAUUAUUGCAACAAUUCACCAAAUCUAAUCUUUGCACUUUCGAUUUAUGUUUCUAAUUGUAUCAUCUUUUGAAUUUGGUCUUCUGGUAGGUAUUUAUAACCUCUUCCUAGCUUUUCUCGAUUUAUAAGUUCAAACUUUUGUUUAUAGUUCCAAUUCAGUAAAUUAGUUUUUGAUUUUGUAUAAAUAUAUUCGUUCAUAGAUGUUUCUCUUUUGAUGGCAACUAUUUAUAGGCCAUUAUUUAUGCGUUUGUAAGGCCAUUUAUGAAGAGUAUAUUUCGAAGAACUAAGAGAAUGGUGGCUGAGCUGUUUGUGUUUGGAACUUGUAUGGAUCCAGAUUUUGGGUGAUGUCUUGGGUUGUUCUUUCUGCAACCUACUGCAUAAAGCAGGAGGAUUGUAUGUUGUUAGUUGCUUAUACUAAAGGACCAAACAAGAAGCCAUAUAUGGCUAUAAUCAAGAUUUGGAAGAAAUUGUGGUCAAUAUUGAAGAGGUGAAAAACGAUAAAUUGAAGAAAAUAAGGAAAUAUAGACAGGAAGACAUGAAAACUCUUUGAAAUUGGAGAAAGAAGAAGGCAAAAAAUUUUCCAAAGCAAAACACAGACUCAAAGACGACGACGACUGCUUGAUAUUGACAUUUACGGGGAGCACCAUUAACGGCUGUCAAAAACCUAAUUCGUGAGUUUUGUGAGGGCGUUAGAGAUUUGUUGACUCUUCGAUUUGUAGCGGACAAUCUAGAGGAUAGAGAGUUGAUGGCCGAAGAUGACAUGGAUUCCAGAAGGUGGUGCUUUUAGGGGAAACGAAUCGACAAAGGGAGAAGUUGAGUGAUUAUCGAUGAUAUGUAAUUACGAUAUUUGUUUUGGAGAGUGAAAUAUAUUUGAUUUAUUAUUGUUUU
Molecule: long non-coding RNA, 1279 nt
Organism: Lactuca sativa (garden lettuce)
Lineage: Eukaryota; Viridiplantae; Streptophyta; Magnoliopsida; Asterales; Asteraceae
Source: RefSeq, a predicted model, not a curated record